AUGCGAUACUUGGUGUGAAUUGCAGAAUCUCGUGAACCAUUGAGUCUUUGAACGCAAGUUGUACCCGAGGCCUUGUGGUCGAGGGCACGCCUGCUUGGGCGUCAUGA
This 107-nucleotide ribosomal RNA is filed under the name Curcuma sp. 'chuanhuangjiang'. RNAcentral's name for it is "partial 5.8S ribosomal RNA". It matches the Rfam family "5.8S ribosomal RNA", at positions 53 to 154 of the family's 154-position model. Rfam says of the family: 5.8S ribosomal RNA (5.8S rRNA) is a component of the large subunit of the eukaryotic ribosome. It is transcribed by RNA polymerase I as part of the 45S precursor that also contains 18S and 28S rRNA. Lineage: Eukaryota; Viridiplantae; Streptophyta; Magnoliopsida; Zingiberales; Zingiberaceae. The record is from RNAcentral.